GGCAGCGUGGCCUAGUGGAUGGAGCGUGGGCCUAGAAGUCCGAAGGAUCUGGGUUCUAAUCCCAGCUCUGCCA
RNAcentral lists this transfer RNA (73 nucleotides) under Ornithorhynchus anatinus (platypus). It matches the Rfam family "tRNA". From Rfam's summary of the family: Transfer RNA (tRNA) molecules are approximately 80 nucleotides in length. Their secondary structure includes four short double-helical elements and three loops (D, anti-codon, and T loops). The record is from Rfam by way of RNAcentral. Lineage: Eukaryota; Metazoa; Chordata; Mammalia; Monotremata; Ornithorhynchidae.